RNAcentral lists this transfer RNA (74 nucleotides) under Phycisphaerae bacterium. RNAcentral's name for it is "tRNA-Met". It matches the Rfam family "tRNA". From Rfam's summary of the family: Transfer RNA (tRNA) molecules are approximately 80 nucleotides in length. The record is from RNAcentral. RNAcentral also lists the same sequence under 2 other names. Lineage: Bacteria; Pseudomonadati; Planctomycetota; Phycisphaerae.
CGCGGGGUAGAGCAGCCUGGUAGCUCGUCGGGCUCAUAACCCGGAGGUCGUGGGUUCAAAUCCCACCCCCGCUA